RNAcentral lists this microRNA precursor (84 nucleotides) under Bombyx mori (domestic silkworm). Its description in RNAcentral is "mir-2807 microRNA precursor family". It matches the Rfam family "mir-2807 microRNA precursor family". Lineage: Eukaryota; Metazoa; Arthropoda; Insecta; Lepidoptera; Bombycidae. The record is from Rfam by way of RNAcentral.
UUAGCUCAGAUUUGUAUGAAAUGGGAUCGUUUGCGUACGUUUGCCGCUGGCGGCGUUGUUCCAACUGCAUACAAAAUUGGCUUA